UCAGAUGAAAAAACACGCCUAAAUCCCUAGACACCGAUACAGACACAAGAACGACGCAACCCCAAGGCUCUCAGUUUCUGUCUUCUUCUUCUUCAUUUCUCCACUGAAAACAAAGAUCGCACUCUCACCUUUCCAAAAAUGCAGCAGCGGCGCAAGAGAGGGCGGAAAAACGGAAAAAUCAGCAGCAGCUCACAAAUCUCUCUCCAUAGAAGAGCUGACUGUCGUCCCUUAUUCUUCUCUGUCUUCUUCACUCUCAUUUCUCACCUUCACCCACACCCAUUCAUAUACACCUACACAUAUCUGGAAAAGAAGGGACCCUUUUAAAUUUCAAAAAAAAAUCAAAUCUAAAAAAAAGGCUUCGAAAAACUAAAGAAAAACGGAGAUUUCAAUGGAGGUUUGAGUUGAUUUCUGGGAUCCCGGGCAAUUUAGAGCUCGAGACUGAAGCUGUGUAUUGAUUUCUGCUGUUGAAUCGGCUGUUUGGUGGCUGAACUCAGACCAUCAUUUUGGUCCAUUUCUUUGAUGUUGUUCUGCUUGUAGUUGUCCUGAAGUAUUUAUGGAAGUUGAUUCAAGUCUAAUAGUGGCCUUUACUCUGCAUUUUAGCUGUCCUGAAGAAUUUAUGGAAGUUGAUUCAAGUCAAAUAGUGGCCUUUACUCUGCAUUUUAGCUGUCCUGAAGAAUUUAUGGAAGUUGAUUCAAGUCAAAUAGUGGCCUUUACUCUGCAUUUUAGCCUGAUCCUCAUGUGGCCAUGUUUGGUUUGGAAGAAGUUCAGUUUAGCGAUUUCAGGAUGGAGGAUUCUGCGAUUUCAUUGUCCUAUUAAUUGGAAACAAUUGUUCAUUAGUUUGCUAUCAAAAUUUGGAGAUCAGGCUGGGGAUUGAUGCUUGUAGGUUAUAUGCAGAUUUGAAGUUAAAAGUCCUCUGCUAGUUUAAAUACCUCACCUAGUUUGAUUCAGCAUACAAAAUAUAAUUAAAACAACUUUUUCUGUCAAAAUUAGUUCAUUUCCUUCUAAUGCAUUUUCUGAACUUGGAUAACAUGAGUUUGAGUUUAAUUGUUGGGUUAUUUUAUUCCUUUGUGAUGAUGUAUUCUAUAAUCAACAAUAUAGCUAUUUGGGUGGCUAUUCGUGUAAAUUACAAAUGUUUAAAAUGAUAGAAGCUCAUUGUUCAAUCA
Molecule: non-coding RNA, 1163 nt
Organism: Nicotiana tabacum (common tobacco)
Lineage: Eukaryota; Viridiplantae; Streptophyta; Magnoliopsida; Solanales; Solanaceae
Source: RefSeq, a predicted model, not a curated record